CUGAGUUAUACUUAUACUUCGCC
RNAcentral lists this small nuclear RNA (23 nucleotides) under Arabidopsis thaliana (thale cress). RNAcentral's name for it is "snRNA_06067". Lineage: Eukaryota; Viridiplantae; Streptophyta; Magnoliopsida; Brassicales; Brassicaceae. The record is from RNAcentral.